This 497-nucleotide ribosomal RNA is filed under the name uncultured bacterium. Its description in RNAcentral is "partial 16S ribosomal RNA". It matches the Rfam family "Bacterial small subunit ribosomal RNA", at positions 28 to 507 of the family's 1533-position model. The record is from RNAcentral.
GAUGAACGCUGGCGGCGUGCCUAAUACAUGCAAGUCGAGCGAACAGACGAGGAGCUUGCUCCUCUGACGUUAGCGGCGGACGGGUGAGUAACACGUGGAUAACCUACCUAUAAGACUGGGAUAACUUCGGGAAACCGGAGCUAAUACCGGAUAAUAUAUUGAACCGCAUGGUUCAAUAGUGAAAGACGGUUUUGCUGUCACUUAUAGAUGGAUCCGCGCCGCAUUAGCUAGUUGGUAAGGUAACGGCUUACCAAGGCAACGAUGCGUAGCCGACCUGAGAGGGUGAUCGGCCACCCGGGAACUGAGAAACGGUCCAGACUCCUACGGGAGGCAGCGGUAGGGAAUCUUCCGCAAUGGGCGAAAGCCUGACGGAGCAACGCCGCGUGAGUGAUGAAGGUCUUCGGAUCGUAAAACUCUGUUAUUAGGGAAGAACAAAUGUGUAAGUAACUAUGCACGUCUUGACGGUACCUAAUCAGAAAGCCACGGCUAACUACGUG